RNAcentral lists this unclassified non-coding RNA (1424 nucleotides) under Hevea brasiliensis (rubber tree). The record is from RNAcentral. Lineage: Eukaryota; Viridiplantae; Streptophyta; Magnoliopsida; Malpighiales; Euphorbiaceae.
GUCGUUUAAAUUGUAAAAAGACGAAUAAACAUAGAGGGGGAACAUAGGAAAGUUGAUACAAUAUACUUGUGCAUCAAAGUCAUAUUCCCAUCUCCAACCAAAUGUUUGUAGCUUUCUAAACACUCCCUUCUAUUGUGGGUACAAAUUCCACAAUGGAAAAUAAAUUACCAAAAUUUUUAAAUUGAAUGAUUGCUUGAUUAGUUGGGUUGGGUUGUGUUGACAUAAUAUGUUUAUUAAAUUGGUGAUACUGUGUUUUUUUUUUUUGUGUUACUUGUUUAUUAAACAUGUUUUGACAUGUUCAUGUUCAUGUCAACCCAUUAAUCUGAAUGCCGAAACCCAAACCUCAACAAAUGCUUAAAAAAAACAAAGCAAACAUAUAAAAUAACAAAAUUUGUGGUUCACACUUUUAACAUAGAGCCACGUCCACAGGUAUGAUUUUUUAACUAUCAUCAAAUAUAAUCAAUAACUACAAGUUCAAAACUAUAUCACCGUCAACCGAAUUACAUCUAAGAAAACCCCCACAAAAAACUACACAAAUACAUUAGUUAGUCCCAUUCAUUCUCCUCUACACAUGACGCAAUAUAUUUACUACUGCAACACACAUUGGGUAUUUUCAACUAUAAUAAACAAUAUUUUCUUACUCUUAGACUAUACCCAUUCUCUACUAUAGGUUAAAACUUCUCUCCCUCUAUUGAACUACAAGGGCAAGUGACACUCUCCUCAAUGGGCAAGAGCCUCUCUACAAUAGGCGAAAGCCACUCUCCUCAAUUGGUAAAACCCUCUCUAUGGGCAAAAGCCUCAUUUUGUAGGCUAAAAGUCAAAUAACUUUUCUGUGAAUAUUCCUAAUGUUAGUCCACUCAAUCAUAAUCUAAUUAAAAAUCCAAUUCUAUUUAGGAAUAACAUCAUAAUAGGAAUUCUAUUUAAUUUAGGAAAUAAUCAUACAUUCUAUUGAGGAAUAUUUCUCCUCAAAGAUCUCUUCAAAUCUUACUAAGAUUAUGAGUCAUAAAUCUAACAAACACGAAUUCCAACCCUAAACAAAAUGCUUCCACUGAACCAAACUACUAUAAUUGAGCUAAAAUCAAAUGCAUGUUUGCAUUUGACAAUGUGUAAUAGACUUAUUUAAUAAAAAAUUUAGGCUAAAGAUUAUAACUAAAAAGUAUAAUGUUAAUGUUUUUAGCUAGAAAUAGGAAACUGAAAAGCUCAUAAAAAAUUUGUACUCAUUUUUUUAUUAAUAGUGGGUACAAAGUGCAUAAAAUUAAUUUAUAGAGUUGGAUUUAUUUAGGAAAAAAAAUGUUUAAAAAGUGAACAAUAUUGGUGGUUUAAUAAAAAUUUAAUUGUAUUUCUCUGAUCUUUUUGGAGGAGAAACGAAACUUUUGGCAAAAAAUAAUUAAUCCAGAUGCCUGCUAAGUGCAAUAAGAAAUUGU